This 301-nucleotide ribosomal RNA is filed under the name uncultured bacterium. RNAcentral describes it as "partial 16S ribosomal RNA". It matches the Rfam family "Bacterial small subunit ribosomal RNA", at positions 509 to 807 of the family's 1533-position model. The record is from RNAcentral.
CAGCAGCCACGGGAAUACGAAGGGUGCAAGCGUUACUCGGAAUUACUGGGCGUGAAGCGUGCGUAGGUGGUGGUUUAAGUCCGUUGUGAAAGCCCUGGGCUCAACCUGGGAAUUGCAGUGGAUACUGGGUCACUAGAGUGUGGUAGAGGAUAGUGGAAUUUCCGGUGUAGCAGUGAAAUGCGUAGAGAUCGGAAGGAACAUCUGUGGCGAAGGCGACUAUCUGGGCCAACACUGACACUGAGGCACGAAAGCGUGGGGAGCAAACAGGAUUAGAUACCCCCGUAGUCCCUGUCUCUUAUAC